Molecule: long non-coding RNA, 1136 nt
Filed under: Manihot esculenta (cassava)
Lineage: Eukaryota; Viridiplantae; Streptophyta; Magnoliopsida; Malpighiales; Euphorbiaceae
Description: long non-coding RNA (MESC_LNC007873)
Source: RNAcentral
AUGAGAGUACACACUUUUCCAUUAACCAAACACCUAGUGUGAAAUAUGUUUUCCUGUUGUUCUAGGCUUUCUUUCUUAACCUGCAUAUUCAGAGCACGCCUAGCAACAAGCAUCUCACAAUGUGCAGCAAGCAACACAUUAUUAACCAACACAUCCGAAUCAUCACAGUCAUUAUUGCAAAUUAAGAGUUCUUUGAGGUAUUCUUGUAGAAGUGGAAGCUUGUGAGACAUUCAAACUCUCCAUAGUUUUAGUUAACCUCUCAAGAGUCUUAUUGAGCCUUUGUAACUCACCACUGACUGACUUUUUAAAGAGCUUAUAAUCGUUACCCAUAUUCGAUUCACUUCCAUCAGUACGAUCCACCACAUUCUUGUCUUUACUCAUCCUACUUUAAAUCAACAAAGAACAAAAAGAACUAGCAAAUAUUGUGUUAAAAAAGAAAGUACUCAAGUGUUUGCACUCUUACCAUUCUUUUGCUGAUUCUUCAAUUGCACUUCAGAAACUAAGGUCAACCAACUAACCACAAGGUGCGUUUAAUGAAACAAAGAAGAAAACCUAAAGAAAGAAGGAAGCGCGCAAAAACUAGAAAGAAGACACUGACAAUUUGGAAAGUAACACAUGAACUAGGUUUUGUGCUACUUGAAAAAUAUUAUCUAGAGUAUAGACACAAGCAAACAAUACUCCAGCAAUGUAAAGGAAGCAAAAGCAAGCUUAAACAAAAAAAAGAAACUUAGAAAUAAAAUAAAAACGUACCUGGACAAAAAAAUUUGCAUUUAAUUCACUUCAACGCAAAUUAAAUAUGGAUCUACUUUAAUCUAUCCAAAAAGGAAAGUAUCAAAACCCCACAAAUAGAAUCAGAAAAGAAAAAUAUAAAUUUCACUCAGAUCAGAAACAUGGACGAAAAUUCUGGUGUUAAAAGAAGGAUUUGACAUCAAAUCAAUUUAGAUGCAAUUGCCCUAAAUGUGCACUUUAGGAAAUAGGCAGAAUUUCUUUUAUCUCCUAAUCUGGAUUCGACCCAAUUCAAAAUUCAAAAUUCAAAUUGAUUCCCAUAAAUUACUGCAAUUAAUUGAGAUAGGUAAGGCAAUAUAGAUGAAAAAGGAAGCAUAUCACAAUUUCGGCCAGAUCAAGGUAAAUAAGGC